This 411-nucleotide ribosomal RNA is filed under the name Pseudomonas helmanticensis. RNAcentral's name for it is "bacterial SSU rRNA". It matches the Rfam family "Bacterial small subunit ribosomal RNA", at positions 386 to 789 of the family's 1533-position model. The record is from RNAcentral. Lineage: Bacteria; Pseudomonadati; Pseudomonadota; Gammaproteobacteria; Pseudomonadales; Pseudomonadaceae.
AUCCAGCCAUGCCGCGUGUGUGAAGAAGGUCUUCGGAUUGUAAAGCACUUUAAGUUGGGAGGAAGGGCAGUAAAUUAAUACUUUGCUGUUUUGACGUUACCGACAGAAUAAGCACCGGCUAACUCUGUGCCAGCAGCCGCGGUAAUACAGAGGGUGCAAGCGUUAAUCGGAAUUACUGGGCGUAAAGCGCGCGUAGGUGGUUCGUUAAGUUGGAUGUGAAAGCCCCGGGCUCAACCUGGGAACUGCAUUCAAAACUGUCGAGCUAGAGUAUGGUAGAGGGUGGUGGAAUUUCCUGUGUAGCGGUGAAAUGCGUAGAUAUAGGAAGGAACACCAGUGGCGAAGGCGACCACCUGGACUGAUACUGACACUGAGGUGCGAAAGCGUGGGGAGCAAACAGGAUUAGAUACCCUG